CAGAGUUUGAUCCUGGCUCAGGACGAACGCUGGCGGCGUGCCUAAUACAUGCAAGUCGAGCGGACAGAUGGGAGCUUGCUCCCUGAUGUUAGCGGCGGACGGGUGAGUAACACGUGGGUAACCUGCCUGUAAGACUGGGAUAACUCCGGGAAACCGGGGCUAAUACCGGAUGGUUGUUUGAACCGCAUGGUUCAAACAUAAAAGGUGGCUUCGGCUACCACUUACAGAUGGACCCGCGGCGCAUUAGCUAGUUGGUGAGGUAACGGCUCACCAAGGCAACGAUGCGUAGCCGACCUGAGAGGGUGAUCGGCCACACUGGGACUGAGACACGGCCCAGACUCCUACGGGAGGCAGCAGUAGGGAAUCUUCCGCAAUGGACGAAAGUCUGACGGAGCAACGCCGCGUGAGUGAUGAAGGCUUUCGGAUCGUAAAGCUCUGUUGUUAGGGAAGAACAAGUACCGUUCGAAUAGGGCGGUACCUUGACGGUACCUAACCAGAAAGCCACGGCUAACUACGUGCCAGCAGCCGCGGUAAUACGUAGGUGGCAAGCGUUGUCCGGAAUUAUUGGGCGUAAAGGGCUCGCAGGCGGUUUCUUAAGUCUGAUGUGAAAGCCCCCGGCUCAACCGGGGAGGGUCAUUGGAAACUGGGGAACUUGAGUGCAGAAGAGGAGAGUGGAAUUCCACGUGUAGCGGUGAAAUGCGUAGAGAUGUGGAGGAACACCAGUGGCGAAGGCGACUCUCUGGUCUGUAACUGACGCUGAGGAGCGAAAGCGUGGGGAGCGAACAGGAUUAGAUACCCUGGUAGUCCACGCCGUAAACGAUGAGUGCUAAGUGUUAGGGGGUUUCCGCCCCUUAGUGCUGCAGCUAACGCAUAAGCACUCCGCCUGGGGAGUACGGUCGCAAGACUGAAACUCAAAGGAAUUGACGGGGGCCCGCACAAG
Molecule: ribosomal RNA, 940 nt
Filed under: Bacillus sp. (in: firmicutes)
Lineage: Bacteria; Bacillati; Bacillota; Bacilli; Caryophanales; Bacillaceae
Description: bacterial SSU rRNA
Rfam family: Bacterial small subunit ribosomal RNA
Source: RNAcentral